ACUUUCAAAGGAUAAUAGCAAUCCAAUGGUCUUAGGAGCCACGCAUCUUGGUGCAAAUCCAAGUGAAAGUA
RNAcentral lists this transfer RNA (71 nucleotides) under Saxicola maurus (Siberian stonechat). RNAcentral's name for it is "tRNA-Leu". It matches the Rfam family "tRNA". From Rfam's summary of the family: Transfer RNA (tRNA) molecules are approximately 80 nucleotides in length. Their secondary structure includes four short double-helical elements and three loops (D, anti-codon, and T loops). Lineage: Eukaryota; Metazoa; Chordata; Aves; Passeriformes; Muscicapidae. The record is from RNAcentral. RNAcentral also lists the same sequence under 4 other names.